GCCAUGAUGUUAUCCCCAUUAUGAAUGUUACUUCUCUUUGAAAAAGAAAGAACAAGAAAAAGAAAACCUCCUUGAGACAUAGAGACCUCCUGGAGGUAGAAGACCGGGAUCCCCAAGAUCUCCUGGCAAAAGAAAACCUCCUUGAGACAUAGAGACCUCCUGGAGGUAGAAAACCGGGAUCCCCAAGAUCUCCCGGAAUUACAAGACCAGGAUCCCCAAGAUCUCCUGGCAAAAGAAAACCUCCUUGAGACAUAGAGACCUCCUGGAGGUAGAAGACCGGGAUCCCCAAGAUCUCCCGGAAUUACAAGACCAGGAUCUCCAAGAUCUCCUGGCAAAAGAAAACCUCCUUGAGACAUAGAGACCUCCUGGAGGUAGAAGACCGGGAUCCCCAAGAUCUCCCGGAAUUACAAAAUAAAGGAUAGCCGGCGAGGCCCCAAGGUCACCCCGGCACAACCAGGAUUUCGUAAGACCCCGGCACAGCCAGGAUCUCGUAAGACCUCUGGAAAGUAAAAAUAGUUGGUGAGGGACUUAAGGGCCUCCCAAAAAUGAAAAUUUCCCACAACUUUAUGCAGGGAUAACUUACAAAGCUAUAUUUCCGACCUCACAAACACAGAGAGGUCCGGAGUUCCCAAGAAAAAUUAAGGCUCCGACUUACUAAAGAGACGUAAAAGCUAAAGAAGUGC
RNAcentral lists this long non-coding RNA (683 nucleotides) under Manihot esculenta (cassava). Its description in RNAcentral is "long non-coding RNA (MESC_LNC002521)". Lineage: Eukaryota; Viridiplantae; Streptophyta; Magnoliopsida; Malpighiales; Euphorbiaceae. The record is from RNAcentral.